CCUACGGGAGGCAGCAGUAGGGAAUAUUGCUCAAUGGGGGAAACCCUGAAGCAGCAACGCCGCGUGGAGGAUGAAGGUUUUCGGAUUGUAAACUCCUUUUGUUAGAGAAGAUAAUGACGGUAUCUAACGAAUAAGCACCGGCUAACUCCGUGCCAGCAGCCGCGGUAACACGGAGGGUGCAAGCGUUACUCGGAAUCACUGGGCGUAAAGAGCGCGUAGGCGGGAUAGCAAGUCAGAUGUGAAAUCCUAUGGUUUAACCAUAGAACUGCAUUUGAAACUGUUAUUCUAGAGUGUGGGAGAGGUAGGUGGAAUGCUUGGUGUAGGGGUAAAAUGCGUAGAGAUCAAGAAGAAUACUCAUUGCGAAGGCGACCUGCUAGAACAUAACUGACGCUGAUGCGCGAAAGCGUGGGGAGCAAACAGGAUUAGAUACCCGGGUAGUC
RNAcentral lists this ribosomal RNA (440 nucleotides) under uncultured bacterium. RNAcentral describes it as "partial 16S ribosomal RNA". It matches the Rfam family "Bacterial small subunit ribosomal RNA", at positions 338 to 795 of the family's 1533-position model. The record is from RNAcentral.